GAUGAACGCUGGCGGCGUGCCUAAUACAUGCAAGUCGAGCGAACAGACGAGGAGCUUGCUCCUCUGACGUUAGCGGCGGACGGGUGAGUAACACGUGGAUAACCUACCUAUAAGACUGGGAUAACUUCGGGAAACCGGAGCUAAUACCGGAUAAUAUAUUGAACCGCAUGGUUCAAUAGUGAAAGACGGUUUUGCUGUCACUUAUAGAUGGAUCCGCGCCGCAUUAGCUAGUUGGUAAGGUAACGGCUUACCAAGGCGACGAUGCGUAGCCGACCUGAGAGGGUGAUCGGCCACACUGGAACUGGGACACGGUCCAGACUCCUACGGGAGGCAGCAGUAGGGAAUCUUCCGCAAUGGGCGAAAGCCUGACGGAGCAACGCCGCGUGAGUGAUGAAGGUCUUCGGAUCGUAAAACUCUGUUAUUAGGGAAGAACAAAUGUGUAAGUAACUAUGCACGUCUUGACGGUACCUAAGCAGAAAGCCACGGCUAACUACGU
RNAcentral lists this ribosomal RNA (496 nucleotides) under uncultured bacterium. Its description in RNAcentral is "partial 16S ribosomal RNA". It matches the Rfam family "Bacterial small subunit ribosomal RNA", at positions 28 to 506 of the family's 1533-position model. The record is from RNAcentral.